Desulfitibacter sp. BRH_c19 is the source of this 72-nucleotide non-coding RNA. The record is from Rfam. NCBI's taxonomy places the organism in Bacteria, Bacillati, Bacillota, Clostridia, Neomoorellales, Desulfitibacteraceae.
GGCCCGUUGGUCAAGCGGUUAAGACACCGCCCUUUCACGGCGGUAACAGGGGUUCAAGUCCCCUACGGGUCA